This 1056-nucleotide ribosomal RNA is filed under the name Chryseobacterium sp. 160a. Its description in RNAcentral is "bacterial SSU rRNA". It matches the Rfam family "Bacterial small subunit ribosomal RNA", at positions 57 to 1119 of the family's 1533-position model. The record is from RNAcentral. Lineage: Bacteria; Pseudomonadati; Bacteroidota; Flavobacteriia; Flavobacteriales; Weeksellaceae.
GCAGCUGAGCGGUAGAGAUCUUUCGGGAUCUUGAGAGCGGCGUACGGGUGCGGAACACGUGUGCAACCUGCCUUUAUCAGGGGGAUAGCCUUUCGAAAGGAAGAUUAAUACCCCAUAAUAUAUUAAGUGGCAUCACUUUGAUAUUGAAAACUCCGGUGGAUAGAGAUGGGCACGCGCAAGAUUAGAUAGUUGGUGAGGUAACGGCUCACCAAGUCGAUGAUCUUUAGGGGGCCUGAGAGGGUGAUCCCCCACACUGGUACUGAGACACGGACCAGACUCCUACGGGAGGCAGCAGUGAGGAAUAUUGGACAAUGGGUUAGCGCCUGAUCCAGCCAUCCCGCGUGAAGGACGACGGCCCUAUGGGUUGUAAACUUCUUUUGUACAGGGAUAAACCUAUUUACGUGUAAAAAGCUGAAGGUACUGUACGAAUAAGCACCGGCUAACUCCGUGCCAGCAGCCGCGGUAAUACGGAGGGUGCAAGCGUUAUCCGGAUUUAUUGGGUUUAAAGGGUCCGUAGGCGGAUGUGUAAGUCAGUGGUGAAAUCUCACAGCUUAACUGUGAAACUGCCAUUGAUACUGCAUGUCUUGAGUAAGGUAGAAGUGGCUGGAAUAAGUAGUGUAGCGGUGAAAUGCAUAGAUAUUACUUAGAACACCAAUUGCGAAGGCAGGUCACUAUGUCUUAACUGACGCUGAUGGACGAAAGCGUGGGGAGCGAACAGGAUUAGAUACCCUGGUAGUCCACGCCGUAAACGAUGCUAACUCGUUUUUGGGUUUUCGGAUUCAGAGACUAAGCGAAAGUGAUAAGUUAGCCACCUGGGGAGUACGUUCGCAAGAAUGAAACUCAAAGGAAUUGACGGGGGCCCGCACAAGCGGUGGAUUAUGUGGUUUAAUUCGAUGAUACGCGAGGAACCUUACCAAGGCUUAAAUGGGAAUUGAUCGGUUUAGAAAUAGACCUUCCUUCGGGCAAUUUUCAAGGUGCUGCAUGGUUGUCGUCAGCUCGUGCCGUGAGGUGUUAGGUUAAGUCCUGCAACGAGCGCAACCCCUGUUACUAGUUGCU